RNAcentral lists this ribosomal RNA (611 nucleotides) under uncultured bacterium. RNAcentral describes it as "bacterial SSU rRNA". It matches the Rfam family "Bacterial small subunit ribosomal RNA", at positions 338 to 951 of the family's 1533-position model. The record is from RNAcentral.
CCUACGGGAGGCAGCAGUAAGGAAUAUUGGUCAAUGGACGGAAGUCUGAACCAGCCAUGCCGCGUGCAGGAAGACGGCCCUAUGGGUUGUAAACUGCUUUUGCAGGGGAAUAAACCUCGAUACGUGUAUCGAGCUGAAUGUACUCUGAGAAUAAGGAUCGGCUAACUCCGUGCCAGCAGCCGCGGUAAUACGGAGGAUCCAAGCGUUAUCCGGAUUUAUUGGGUUUAAAGGGUGCGUAGGUGGCCUGUUAAGUCAGGGGUGAAAGACGGUAGCUUAACUAUCGCAGUGCCCUUGAUACUGAUGGGCUUGAAUAAACUAGAGGUAGGCGGAAUGUGACAAGUAGCGGUGAAAUGCAUAGAUAUGUCACAGAACACCAAUUGCGAAGGCAGCUUACUAUGGUUUUAUUGACACUGAGGCACGAAAGCGUGGGGAUCAAACAGGAUUAGAUACCCUGGUAGUCCACGCCCUAAACGAUGAAUACUCGAUGUUGGCGAUAUACGGUCAGCGUCUAAGCGAAAGCGUUAAGUAUUCCACCUGGGGAGUACGCCCGCAAGGUGAAACUCAAAGGAAUUGACGGCGNGAGAGNGACGAGACGACGACGAGGGAGGAGG